GGUUGAUCCUGCCAGUAGUCAUAUGCUUGUCUCAAAGAUUAAGCCAUGCAUGUCUAAGUACAGGCUUUGGUACAGCGAAACCGCGAAUGGCUCAUUAAAUCAGCUAUAAUUUAUUAGAUUGUUCUUUACUUGGAUAACUGUGGGAAUUCUAGAGCUAAUACAUGCACAGAAGCUCCGACCUUCGGGAAGGAGUGCAGUUAUUAGACCAAAACCAGCCGAGCUUCGGCUCGAACUGUUUGGUGACUCUGGAUAACGAUGAGCGGAUCGCAUGGCCUUGAGCCGGCGACGCAUCUUUCAAGUGUCUGACCUAUCAACUGACGAUGGUACGCGAUAUGCCUACCAUGGUGAUAACGGGUAACGGAGAAUAAGGGUUCGACUCCGGAGAGGGAGCCUGAGAAAUGGCUACCACAUCCAAGGAUGGCAGCAGGCGCGCAAAUUACCCACUCUCAGUACGAGGAGGUAGUGACGAAAAAUAACAAUGCGGGACUCAUCAGAGGCCUCGCAAUUGGAAUGAGCGCACUUUAAAUCGUUCGACGAGGAUCUAUUGGAGGGCAAGUCUGGUGCCAGCAGCCGCGGUAAUUCCAGCUCCAAUAGCGUAUAUUAAAGUUGUUGCAGUUAAAAAGCUCGUAGUUGGAUCUGGGGUUCGGGUCGGCGGUUUGCCGCUUCGGCGGCUACUGCCGUGCUCGACUCUUACUAGCCGGUGCGUCUUGCGGUGCUCUUCAUCGAGUGCCGUAGGAGCCUGGCAUGUUUACUUUGAAAAAAAUUAGAGUGCUCAAAGCAGGCGAUUCCGCCUGAAUAGUGUUGCAUGGAAUAAUGGAAUAGGACCUCGGUUCUAUUUUGUUGGUUUUCGGAACUUGAGGUAAUGAUUAAGAGGGACGGUCGGGGGCAUUCGUAUUUCGGUGUUAGAGGUGAAAUUCUUGGAUCGCUGAAAGACGGACAAAUGCGAAAGCAUCUGCCAAGAACGUCUCCAUUAAUCAAGAACGAAAGUCAGAGGUUCGAAGACGAUCAGACACCGUCCUAGUUCUGACCAUAAACGAUGCCAACUAGCGAUCCGCAGUGGUUGCUAUAAACGGACUCUGCGAGCAGCUUCCGGGAAACCAAAGUGUUUGGGUUCCGGGGGAAGUAUGGUUGCAAAGCUGAAACUUAAAGGAAUUGACGGAAGGGCACCACCAGGAGUGGAGCCUGCGGCUUAAUUUGACCCAACACGGGGAGACUCACCCGGUCCGGACACUGUAAGGAUUGACAGAUCGAGAGCUCUUUCUUGAUUCGGUGGAUGGUGGUGCAUGGCCGUUCUUAGUUGGUGGAGUGAUUUGUCUGGUUAAUUCCGAUAACGAACGAGACUCUAGCCUGCUAACUAGUUGCGCCGUGUUCAUACGCGGCUGUAGACUUCUUAGAGGGACAG
This 1402-nucleotide ribosomal RNA is filed under the name metagenome. RNAcentral describes it as "SSU rRNA". It matches the Rfam family "Eukaryotic small subunit ribosomal RNA", at positions 6 to 1422 of the family's 1831-position model. The record is from RNAcentral.